This is a ribosomal RNA of Gossypium arboreum, 72 nucleotides long. Lineage: Eukaryota; Viridiplantae; Streptophyta; Magnoliopsida; Malvales; Malvaceae. The record is from Rfam.
GGGUGCGAUCAUACCUGCACUAAUGCAGCGGAUCCUAUCAGAACUCCGCAGUUAAGCGUGCUUGGGCGAGAG